AACGAACGCUGGCGGCAUGCCUAACACAUGCAAGUCGAACGAGACCUUCGGGUCUAGUGGCGCACGGGUGCGUAACGCGUGGGAACCUGCCCUUAGGUUCGGAAUAACUCCCCGAAAGGGGUGCUAAUACCGGAUAAUGUCUUCGGACCAAAGAUUUAUCGCCUUUGGAUGGGCCCGCGUUGGAUUAGCUCGUUGGUAGGGUAAAAGCCUACCAAGGCGACGAUCCAUAGCUGGGCUGAGAGGAUGAUCAGCCACACUGGGACUGAGACACGGCCCAGACUCCUACGGGAGGCAGCAGUGGGGAAUAUUGGACAAUGGGCGAAGGCCUGAUCCAGCAAUGCCGGGUGAGUGAUGAAGGCCUUAGGGUUGUAAAGCUCUUUUACCCGGGAUGAUAAUGACAGUACCGGGAGAAUAAGCUCCGGCUAACUCCGUG
Molecule: ribosomal RNA, 433 nt
Filed under: uncultured bacterium
Lineage: Bacteria
Description: partial 16S ribosomal RNA
Rfam family: Bacterial small subunit ribosomal RNA
Source: RNAcentral